RNAcentral lists this ribosomal RNA (207 nucleotides) under uncultured bacterium. Its description in RNAcentral is "partial 16S ribosomal RNA". It matches the Rfam family "Bacterial small subunit ribosomal RNA", at positions 568 to 774 of the family's 1533-position model. The record is from RNAcentral.
UGUGCAGGCGGAUUGGCAUGUCGAUGGUGAAAGCUCUCGGCUCAACCGAGAAAGUGCUGUCGAAACUACCAGUCUUGAGGGCGGAAGAGGAAACUGGAACUUCUGGUGUAGCGGUAAAAUGCGUAGAUAUCAGAAGGAACGCCGAUAGCGAAGGCAGGUUUCUGGGACGUUCCUGACGCUGAAACACGAAAGCUAGGGGAGCAAACA